This 82-nucleotide transfer RNA is filed under the name Echinostoma caproni. It matches the Rfam family "tRNA". Rfam says of the family: Transfer RNA (tRNA) molecules are approximately 80 nucleotides in length. Their secondary structure includes four short double-helical elements and three loops (D, anti-codon, and T loops). Further hydrogen bonds mediate the characteristic L-shaped molecular structure. tRNAs have two regions of fundamental functional importance: the anti-codon, which is responsible for specific mRNA codon recognition, and the 3' end, to which the tRNAs corresponding amino acid is attached (by aminoacyl-tRNA synthetases). tRNAs cope with the degeneracy of the genetic code in two manners: having more than one tRNA (with a specific anti-codon) for a particular amino acid; and 'wobble' base-pairing, i.e. permitting non-standard base-pairing at the 3rd anti-codon position. The record is from Rfam by way of RNAcentral. Lineage: Eukaryota; Metazoa; Platyhelminthes; Trematoda; Plagiorchiida; Echinostomatidae.
GGCUUCGUAGCUCAGCUGGUAGAGCAUGCGCGUACAAAGCGUAGGCGGCGUCCAUGCGUGGGUUCGAAUCCCACCGAGGCUA